ACCCAAGUAGCUCAGUUGGUCAGAGCGAGGUCGCAAGUCCGUCAGCUAUAAAAUCCACAGACCUUUAAAUGUGUGGUUGAGAGACGCAGGUUCGAGCCCUGCCUUGGGUG
RNAcentral lists this transfer RNA (110 nucleotides) under Caudoviricetes sp. RNAcentral describes it as "tRNA-OTHER". It matches the Rfam family "tRNA". Rfam says of the family: Transfer RNA (tRNA) molecules are approximately 80 nucleotides in length. Their secondary structure includes four short double-helical elements and three loops (D, anti-codon, and T loops). Lineage: Duplodnaviria; Heunggongvirae; Uroviricota; Caudoviricetes. The record is from RNAcentral.